GCCCUCGUAGCUCAGUUUGGAUAGAGCACAGGAUUCCUAAUCCUGGGGUCGCGUGUUCGAGUCACGCCGGGGGCACCA
RNAcentral lists this transfer RNA (78 nucleotides) under Deltaproteobacteria bacterium. Its description in RNAcentral is "tRNA-Arg". It matches the Rfam family "tRNA". Rfam says of the family: Transfer RNA (tRNA) molecules are approximately 80 nucleotides in length. Their secondary structure includes four short double-helical elements and three loops (D, anti-codon, and T loops). The record is from RNAcentral. Lineage: Bacteria; Pseudomonadati; Myxococcota; Myxococcia.